UAUUUUUGAUUCAUCUCUCUCCCAUGAGCUGCGAAACAAACCCAGAACCCAAAACCGCUUCCCCCUCCUCUGCUCUGUUUUUUGGUUUGGGUUUAUCAGACGACGGAGGAGGAGGGUCUUCUUAUUAUCACUGUUCUGGUCGCUGUUGUUAUAUAGUUUUAGGUUGGGUUCUAUUUUUUGGUUUGGGUUUAUCAGACGACGGAGGAGGGGUUCUAUUUAGUUUUACGUUACACAAUUGUAUGAGUCGGGAGGCGGCGAAAUCGUCAAAAUCAAUCAGUUUGGCGAAAUUAAUACUUGGCUUGGCAAAGAAAGAGAAGGGAAAAGAUCUGAAGGUGGCUUUUUUUGUUUGCUACGAGUAUGUGUGUUUUUUAGGUACUACGUUUACCCGCUUCGUAUAUCUAUCUAUUGCUGGGUUUAUUUUUGGUGAUUUUGAAAGGUCGGAGUGGUCGGUAGGGUUAGAUCUCUCUCCCAUACGCCUGAAACGUCACAAACUUACAGAGACUUUAUAGCUUCAGAUUUGGCUCAUUUACGGAGAAUGUCGCAAAUCGAUCUAAGACUGUAAGGAUGCUAAAUCGGAGAGGCUGAGGAAGGGAUGGCGGCUUCGGAAUGGAGAAUACGCUAAGCUCUGCGAUUGAUGCGCAACCCGUUCCAGUUCCAGGUGCUUUCUAGUUAUUAUUGUAAGGGUUUCUUCUCCACCGAUUCAUCAUGACGAUCAGGAGAGGGGUGGCACUAAGUCCAAGGAAAAAUACCAAAUCAAGAAAUGGGACUGUCAAUGUGAUUGCUAUCAACUCACUGGAGGAGACACAACAUUGAGAGAAUUGUGGAAGAUCUUAGCUUCAGCAUGUGCAAAAAACUUGUGGAGAUGAUGAAAGGGAACAUUUGGGUAGUUCCAAACAAUAAGGAUUUUGCACUAAGCAUGAGACUUAUCCUCAAGUUUCAACUCCAACCAUCUAUAGGAGGCGGCAUCUUUGAACCAGGUGGAUCAUCAGAGCACCUACCUUCAGAAUUCAGAGGCCUUCAAGUUAUAUUAGCUGAUUAUGAUGACUUCAAUAUGGCUGUGACACGAAAGCUCCUUGAGAAGCUCGGUUGCCAAUUUACUAUUGUUUCCUCUGGGUUUGAAUGCCUUGGUGUUUUUAAGUUUGCAACUAGAGUCCCAAAGUUCCAAAGCCAGAGUUGGCUAUUGAUUAUAUAGGUCACAUAUGAAAAAACUCUAAUAUACAGGUUACAGAUAACAAUCUUCCAUA
This is a long non-coding RNA of Nelumbo nucifera (sacred lotus), 1244 nucleotides long. RefSeq lists it as uncharacterized. The record is from RefSeq and is a predicted model, not a curated record. Lineage: Eukaryota; Viridiplantae; Streptophyta; Magnoliopsida; Proteales; Nelumbonaceae.